GACUGGUCAGAUAUGUUGAUGCACUAACCUAAAUUUAAUCAGUCAGAUGUCAGAUCUACUAAUUUAGAAGAGACAUAAAUCUAAAUCUUCUCACUAAAUAUUAAGUCUAGAGGUCUUCUAUCAUUGUAAAGAUGCGGGUGCCUUCCUGGCAUUGAUUGUUCUCAACUGGUUACAGUAGUUCGAUUGCAUUGAAAAGGUACAACCACUUUAUUGACAUUUGAUAUCCUGAGGUAGAGAUGGGGUUGGGUCCAAUAACUGUUAGGUGAGGGUCUCAAUGAUGGCUUUGCGCCCGCUAGUGAAUGAUGGGUUUGACUUAACUA
RNAcentral lists this long non-coding RNA (320 nucleotides) under Elaeis guineensis (African oil palm). Its description in RNAcentral is "long non-coding RNA (EGUI_LNC058022)". Lineage: Eukaryota; Viridiplantae; Streptophyta; Magnoliopsida; Arecales; Arecaceae. The record is from RNAcentral.